Esox lucius (northern pike) is the source of this 1687-nucleotide long non-coding RNA. The record is from Ensembl. NCBI's taxonomy places the organism in Eukaryota, Metazoa, Chordata, Actinopteri, Esociformes, Esocidae.
CGAUCAAAUACUUAUGUCAUGCAAUAAAAUGAAAAUGUAUUAUUUUAAAAUCAUACAAUGUGAUUUUCUGUAAAUUUUUGUUUUUGAUUCUGUCUCUCACAGUUGAAGUGUACCUAUGAUAAAAAUUACAGACCUCUAAAUGUUUUGUAAAUAGGAAAACCUGCAAAAUCGGCAGUGUAUCAAAUAUUUGUUCUCCCCACAGUAUGUACAGCUCUGGAAAAAAAUUAAGAGACCACUGCAAAAUUAUCAGUUUCUCUGGUUUUAUUAUUCAUAGAUAUGUGUUUGAGUAAAAUGAACAUUUGUUUUAUUCUGUUAACUACUGACAGAAUUAAUCCCAAAUUCCAAACACAAAUAUUGUCAUUUAGAGUAUUUAUUUGUACAAAACAACUGGACAAAAUAUACCAAAAAAUAUUGUUUUACAAAAAUUCCCCAGAUCUCAAUCCAAUCGAGCAUCUUUGGGAUGUGCUGGACAAACAAGUUCGAUCCAUGGAGGCCUCACCUCACAACCUACAGGACCUAAAGGAUCAGCUGUUAACGUCUUGGUGCAAGAUACCACAGCACACCUUCAGAGGUCUAGUGGAGUCCAUGCCCCAACGGGUCAGGGCUGUUUUAGCGGCAAAUUGUGGACCUACAAAAUAUUAGUUGCAUAGUGCAGGGGAGGAAGAGUUUGGACAGCAAGAAACAGUUAUGUCAACCUCUUUGCUAAUGUCUUCUGUCAGUCAAAACAAAGGUCUGGUGGUUCGAGGUGACAGCAUGCAGUCAGACAGUAGUGGCUAUGCUGAUGAAGACAUCUCUUCAGUCCACUCACCUGGAAGAGACAAGAGCUGAGAGAGGAGUUCCAGCCCAAAUGAAUGUGCAAGCAACCAACUGAAUCAGCUGAUGGAUGCGAGCCACAACAGACUGCUAUAUAUGUGGCUGAUACGUGACCUAUUACUUGCAGUAUCUUUGCGUUGUGGUCAGGCAGGAACUCACCACAACUUUUAGAGAACUGAACAGAGAAUUGUUAACACAAGAAACACUGAAAACAAGUUCAGCCACUGGAGGUAUAUUCGGCAUGUCGAAUAUUAAAAGGUAUUUCUUCCCUUCAUGUUAGUGUUACUGAUUAAAUUAUGAAUUGUAUAUAACAACUCAUUGUAUAACAAGUUGUUACCCGAAAGAUGUUACACUGGAGAUAAUCAACACACAGUUUAAUUAAAGAAAUAAGGCAUGAGUAGGUGUGGUGUAAUGGCCAAUAUCCUACAGCUAAAAGCUGUUCUUACGCACAACCCAACCUGGAGUGCUUCGAUACAGCGCUCAGCUGGCGUAUAAUAGUAAUAAACUAAACAUAAAGGUGCAAAGUGCUCAGGAAUAAAAAUUAUAUAAAAGUACUCUGAGGCAUAAAGUCAAAACUUUUGUUUUAUCAUUUUCCAUUUUUGGACCUUUGUUUAGUUUUCAGCAUUGUUUAAAUUAUAAUUAGUUAUAUCUCAGCUUCCUUGGAUUUUUUAAAAAUUUUAGGCUGCGCUCAAACCCUCUCUCAGCUGUACUCCGUAUGUAAGCAAUAUACCACAAACCUGGGAAGUGCCUUUUCGCUAUUAAAAAUGAACAAUUAGAGCAAUUUUGUUUUGUCAUACCCUUAAUAUGUGAUCUGAUAUAGGGUUCAACCCACUGUUUAUAAUUGUGAUUGUCCUCUGUGAACAUGUAGAGACAC